UUCAGUUUCACCGUGGCUUUCAUCGAACACGGACGGCUCUCGCUCUCUCUCUCUCUCUCUCUCUCUCUCACACUCUCACUCACUCAUUCGCUCACUCCCUCUACACUCACGCUGGCUGACGCACACGCACGCACGCACGCACGCCUUUAUUUGUGAGAUAGUAAGAUCAAGAAAUGGAAAGAGAUAGAGAGAGGAAAAAAUAGAAAGAAAAUUUGAAAAAAAGUAGAAAAAAGGAAGAAGGAAAAUAAAAGAAACGAAAAUUAAAAGAAAGAAAGAAAGUGAGAAAAUAAAGAGAGAGAAAGAUGAGAGAGAAAAAAUAAAGCUAUCUUACAAACUUUAAUUCAGGAAACAUUUAAAGUGAAAGAAAGAGAAAAAAAGAAAGAAAAUAAAAUAGAGAGAGAGAGACACACGAGAUACGAAGUUUAAAAGAGAAAAAAAAGAGAGAAAAAAAUAAAGAAAAUGAGAAAAUUAAAGAGAGAAUCCAAAAAUAAAUAAACGAACAAAAACACCGAAAUUUAGUGACUUGUUUGCAUUUUGUUUGUUUGUUUGUUUGUUUACUUUGACAAUGGAAGGCAGAUGUUGUUUACAGGCAGCUGUGUGUUUGUUUGUGUUUGUUUGUUUGUUUACCUCCUCCGUGGUGGGCGAAGGGAAAGGCAGGCCAAGCUUCGGGGACAGUGACAAGCUUAAGGUACAGACUGCCCUGGGAAGAGAUGCGACUCUGAUCUGUACAGUCAAGCACGUGUUGGACUACCAGACGGCGUGGAUUCAAAUGAAGAAGGGGAUCGUUCUUUCCAUGGGGGAUGACGUGUUUACGGAAAACCCACGAAUCAGCGUCCACCACCGUUUGACGCUAGAUGGCGCGCAGGCGUGGGUGCUCACUAUCAAGCGUGUCAACCUAAAUGACACGGGGAGUUACAUGUGCUCAUUAAACACUCCGUGGAAGAUGAGAAAGUUCUAUUAUCUUGCUGUUGUGGGUAAGUACGUGUGUUUGGGGGUGUUUGGCAGUGUUUUA
Scylla paramamosain (green mud crab) is the source of this 1012-nucleotide long non-coding RNA. RefSeq lists it as uncharacterized. Lineage: Eukaryota; Metazoa; Arthropoda; Malacostraca; Decapoda; Portunidae. The transcript has 4 exons. The record is from RefSeq and is a predicted model, not a curated record.